This 343-nucleotide ribosomal RNA is filed under the name Octobranchus lingulatus. RNAcentral's name for it is "partial large subunit ribosomal RNA". It matches the Rfam family "Bacterial large subunit ribosomal RNA", at positions 1959 to 2517 of the family's 2925-position model. Lineage: Eukaryota; Metazoa; Annelida; Polychaeta; Terebellida; Trichobranchidae. The record is from RNAcentral.
GCAUAAUAAAUUGCCCUUUAAUUGAGGGCUAGAAUGAAUGGACAAACGAAUGUCUAACUGUCUCUUAUUUAUAAAUAAAAAUUAACCUCCAGGUGAAGAGACCUGGCUAUUAUUUUAGGACAAAAAGACCCCGUAGAGCUCAGUGUUUAAUUUUAAAAAUCUAUAAUAUUUAUAUUAAAUUUGUAAAACUAGUCCACUUAGCUGGGGCGGCUUAGGAACAAAUAACUUCCUUACAUAACUAUGGUUUACUUACCUAUAAUUUAUCCUUAUGAAAGAAAUAGAAAAAAGCUACCUCGGGGCUAACAGAUUAAUCCUCUUUAAGAGUCCACAUCAAAAAGAGGGC